RNAcentral lists this non-coding RNA (47 nucleotides) under Fodinibius roseus. Its description in RNAcentral is "Aliifodinibius roseus Guanidine-II sequence". It matches the Rfam family "Guanidine-II riboswitch aptamer (mini-ykkC)". From Rfam's summary of the family: Simpler in structure and has fewer highly conserved nucleotide positions than the ykkC-yxkD leader. Despite this each of its two stem-loop structures directly bind free guanidine. Lineage: Bacteria; Pseudomonadati; Balneolota; Balneolia; Balneolales; Balneolaceae. RNAcentral also lists the same sequence under 1 other name. The record is from Rfam by way of RNAcentral.
AAGUAGGGACGACCUUACCUCUCUUUUUUUCAAUGGGGACGGCCUCA